This is a non-coding RNA of Prunus avium (sweet cherry), 388 nucleotides long. Lineage: Eukaryota; Viridiplantae; Streptophyta; Magnoliopsida; Rosales; Rosaceae. The record is from RefSeq and is a predicted model, not a curated record.
GUAUAGAAUUUUUGUGAGACAUAAAUUUGUGCUUUCGGAUAUUAAAAUUGAUUUGAACUUGCCAAAAUUGAAAAUUAUAGGAUCGGAUUCGGAAUUUUCAAUCCAACUUACACUCCUAAACCAGUUGAGCUAUUCUAAACCAAGAUAUUAAGCUGGGUUAAUUAAUGAAAAAGUUGGGUAUAAAUAGAGGCCACCGAUGUAUUUUCAGAGAUUCAAUGACCGAAAUUAAAGAAAGAGAGUGGCAGUUGAAGUGGACUGUGUAAGAAAGAAGCUCAAUUUCUCAAACAAUGCGAAGACCGGGGCUUUAUAAUCGGCAGCAUGCGAAGCAAGCAGGAGCGGUGAAGGGCAUGAUUGGGAGGCUAUUGAUCGCUGUUGUGGUUGUCAUAUG